Molecule: ribosomal RNA, 99 nt
Filed under: Nomascus leucogenys (northern white-cheeked gibbon)
Lineage: Eukaryota; Metazoa; Chordata; Mammalia; Primates; Hylobatidae
Source: RNAcentral
GUCUGUAUCCAUACCACCCUGAAUGCACCUGAUCUCAUCUGAUCUUGGAAGCUAAGCAGGGUUCAGCCUGGGUUAGUAUCUGAGUGGGAGAAACAGAAG